CACGUAGGGACCAAGCGUUGUCCGGGUUUAUUGGGCGUAAAGAGCUCGUAGGCGGUUCGGUAAGUCUGGUGUGAAAACUCUGGGCUCAACCCGGAGAGGCCACCCGUUACUGCCGUGACUUGAGUCCGGUAGGGGUGCACGGAAUUCCCGGUGUAGCGGUGAAAUGCGCAGAUAUCAGGAGGAACCCCGGUGGCGAAGGCGGUGCUCUCUGCCGGUACUGACGCUGAGGAGCGAAAGCGUGGGUAGCAAACAGG
RNAcentral lists this ribosomal RNA (254 nucleotides) under uncultured bacterium. Its description in RNAcentral is "partial 16S ribosomal RNA". It matches the Rfam family "Bacterial small subunit ribosomal RNA", at positions 524 to 776 of the family's 1533-position model. The record is from RNAcentral.